Molecule: small nuclear RNA, 21 nt
Filed under: Arabidopsis thaliana (thale cress)
Lineage: Eukaryota; Viridiplantae; Streptophyta; Magnoliopsida; Brassicales; Brassicaceae
Description: snRNA_10440
Source: RNAcentral
UCUUCCUUAAUUGGGAGAGUC